Molecule: non-coding RNA, 1410 nt
Organism: Triticum urartu
Lineage: Eukaryota; Viridiplantae; Streptophyta; Magnoliopsida; Poales; Poaceae
Source: RefSeq, a predicted model, not a curated record
AGUCGGCGCGGGCACGGUCGAAUAAAUCGACUGUAGGCAUAGUCCCGAUGAGUUGAUGUAGACCAGACCGCUGAGGCGGCGAUUUGCGCACAUCCGUUAAGCAAUUUUAACAUAGUGCGGAUGUAGACGCGGCCUCCAAUGACAAUGCGCGAGGGCCGGAUCAGACUUUAGCCAUGAGGUAAUUGACUUCUUACGGCCGCGGCGGUUUAGAACCAGCGGGGCGCCCGGCUGUUUGAAUCCGGCGACUCGGCGGAUGUGGCCGCUUGCAGCAGCGGUUCACAGGCGGAAGCAGGCGGCUCAGAGGCGCAGCGGCGUGGGCGGAGCCCAGCGGUGGAGGCGAAACAGCGAGGCAACAGCCAGUAGCACUUUCAGGCGAGCACGCAAGGGGGACACGGACGCGCGGCGACCUGGUAAAGGCGGGAGCAGAGGAGAGGUGCCAGGCCAGAGCGGAGGCAACAGCUCGGCUCAACCAUGGCGUGAGGCCUCAGCAGAGAAGCGGAGGCGCGAGGCGAGCCGCAACCACAGGGGCGCCGGGCGGUGCUGCGCGGAAGCCGGUCUGAGGUGAAGGGUAGCAAGGCGGCCAGCGGCUCUCCCCGACUACAGUUGAGGCGAGCGUCCGCGGCGGCUGAGGCGCGACAGAGGCAAGGCCAGCUCCGGGAAUACGCAUAUGCAACAUAUGCAGUCAACGGUGGACCAAUCUCCUUCCUCCUGGCAUAGUCCUUCCUUUCCCUGGUUCUCACUUUCCUUUCUUGUUUUAUUCAGAUCUCAUCCAGUCUAGCACGUCCUUUGUGAGGACACGGAGCAUCUUGCUUGAUACGAAGUAGUAAUUGCCUAAAAACAUGCAUAUCACAGACCGUCUGAUCUCCAUUAUAUUCGAGGCGUUGACGGCGGCUCACGUAAAAAUGCAGAGCAACCACGGCGGCUUAAAGAACCGGUUUAUAGGCGCUGCGGUGAAGGCGGAGCUCCGGCAGCGCAGCAGUUUGGAGCAAAGCACGGACGGGCCACGCAGAGGCGGACGGGCGAGGCGGUCUGUUACAGCGGAGGCAGCAACUGCCACGGAAGCCCUCCCGGUGACUCGGAGCAGGGCCGAGGCUGCGACGGCGGUCGACCGCGACGGCGGAGGCCGGCUUGAAAGUGAGGCGGCCAAGCAGCUUUAGGAGAUGACUUGUCUUCUUUUUCUUCCUUGUGAAAAAAAGGCGGAGGCGGUAGUGCCUAUGCCUGAUGUGUCUCGGGAGUCGGGACUGUAGCUUCAAAGAUGUGACAACCCUGUUAGAGCAUGUACAAUGGUUGAUAAGAUAGUCUUAUCUUAAAUUUUACAUGUAAUUUAGAGAAAACAAAAAAAUAUGUCUACAAUGAAUUAUAUCUUAGUCUUAUCUUAAAUAACUAGCUAUUCCUAAAAAUAUGAUGAGA